GACGAACGCUGGCGGCGUGCCUAAUACAUGCAAGUAGAACGCUGAAGAGAGGAGCUUGCUCUUCUUGGAUGAGUUGCGAACGGGUGAGUAACGCGUAGGUAACCUGCCUUGUAGCGGGGGAUAACUAUUGGAAACGAUAGCUAAUACCGCAUAACAAUGGAUGACACAUGUCAUUUAUUUGAAAGGGGCAAUUGCUCCACUACAAGAUGGACCUGCGUUGUAUUAGCUAGUAGGUGAGGUAACGGCUCACCUAGGCGACGAUACAUAGCCGACCUGAGAGGGUGAUCGGCCACACUGGGACUGAGACACGGCCCAGACUCCUACGGGAGGCAGCAGUAGGGAAUCUUCGGCAAUGGGGGCAACCCUGACCGAGCAACGCCGCGUGAGUGAAGAAGGUUUUCGGAUCGUAAAGCUCUGUUGUAAGUCAAGAACGAGUGUGAGAGUGGAAAGUUCACACUGUGACGGUAGCUUACCAGAAAGGGACGGCUAACUACGUGCCAGCAGCCGCGGUAAUACGUAGGUCCCGAGCGUUGUCCGGAUUUAUUGGGCGUAAAGCGAGCGC
This 562-nucleotide ribosomal RNA is filed under the name uncultured Bacilli bacterium. Its description in RNAcentral is "bacterial SSU rRNA". It matches the Rfam family "Bacterial small subunit ribosomal RNA", at positions 28 to 572 of the family's 1533-position model. The record is from RNAcentral. Lineage: Bacteria; Bacillati; Bacillota; Bacilli.